CAUCCUGGGGGUGGAGAAGCUCCCAAGGGUUGGGCUGUUCGCCCAUUAAAGCGGCACGCGAGCUGGGUUCAGACCGUCAAUUUGGCGGCUUUCCUGAGUAAUUGGGAUUGCAAAAGCUGACUCAUAUCGGUGAAGUCCUAACAAGUUCAUUGCAAAAUGACCUGUCGUAUGUUAGGAUAAUACCGAGGGAAGUCACUUAUGUCUAAAUUAUCUUCAGUACAAAAAUCUUAUUUAGCUGGAUUCAUUGAUGGCGAUGGCAGUAUUUAUGUGCGCCUGAAACCCAACGAUAGUUAUCGUUAUGGUUUCCAGGUUGCGCCGUAUAUAGUACUGUUUCAAGCCUCAAAAGAUGAAGAAAUUUUUCGGCGGGUUUGCUCGCUGAUAAAUUUUGGUUAUUUAAGAAAACGAAAAGAUGGUAUAUUAGAAUACACUAUCGGUCGGACUGAAGAUAUUAUUGAAUUUUUGAUGAUGAUUAAGCCUUAUCUGAUUUUAAAGAAAAGACAGGCUGAUCUCAUGUUAGAAAUUCUUAAAAAAAAGAAGUCGGUUAAAAAUAAAGCCGAUUUUCAAGGUUUGAUGGAUUUAAUUGAUAAAUUUAGAGAUUUAAAUUAUUCCAAAAAACGUAAAAGACAUAAAUUGACCCCGUAGAGACUGACUCCAUUUGCUUUAAAUAGCAAUAUAAGCGGGAAGGGCGUUUCUUAAUUGAGGCGUCAACACGUCGGCCCCCUGUUCAACAGGGUGAUGGUAUAGUCCGUACACUUAGUAAUAGGUGAGUUAUAAUUAUGCGUAAGACAGGUCGGUCUCCUAUCCACUGUGGUCGUGGAAACUUGAAGAGGCCCUUCCUUAGUACGAGAGGACCGGGAAGGACGAAGCUCUAGUGUACCUGCUGUUCUACCAAGGGCAUUGCAGGGUAGCUACCUUCGGUUAAGAUAAGCGCUGAAAGCAUCUAAGUGCGAAGCUGUCUCUAAGAUUAGGUUUCAUAGACUGGUUAGAGAAUAUAACCUUGAUAGGCCGUACGUGUAAGUCCGGCAACGGAUUGAGCGGAGCGGUACUAAUAAGUCGUUUGAUUUUCCCAC
RNAcentral lists this ribosomal RNA (1070 nucleotides) under bacterium. RNAcentral describes it as "partial 23S ribosomal RNA". It matches the Rfam family "Bacterial large subunit ribosomal RNA", at positions 2543 to 2925 of the family's 2925-position model. The record is from RNAcentral.